Kogia breviceps (pygmy sperm whale) is the source of this 1112-nucleotide non-coding RNA. Lineage: Eukaryota; Metazoa; Chordata; Mammalia; Artiodactyla; Physeteridae. The record is from RefSeq and is a predicted model, not a curated record.
UCUCUCUCUGAAGCUGUUAAAAUGAAAGCAAAUUGAGUUCCUCUCCGGAAGCAGCACAUGUGUGGAAGAGGCUGAACUCAGGGACCAAAGAACUGAAAGAACAAGAGAAACGAUUGUGUGGGAAGGACAUGCUGGACCCUCUGUCCCCUUUGUCAGAAGAUGCAAGGACAUAGAUUCGCUAGUUUCAAAUUUGGCAGGCCGUCCGUGGCUGGCAUCACGAUUUCCCUGAGGGCCUCGGGGACAUGCUCCUCCAAACGUUCUGGCCUACAGUCCCUAGGCUGUGGCGCUGGUCCUCAUAGCCCAGAGUAGUGGCUGGAGUGCCAGCUUACACACAUGCUCUCCAGCCAGCAGGAUGAAGAAAGUGGCUACAAAGGCAGUGACUCCUCCCUCUUCAGGAUAUUUCACGGAAGCACCAUCUAGCACUUUCUUGAACUUGAUUGCAUGGCAAUAACCAACUGCCAGCGAUGGUGCUGUGCAGUUUUCCAGCACCAUCUGUAACUGAAGACACGAGAGAUUCAGUUUCCUGUUGACCACAUGAGAAAUGAAAUCACUUAUGUUACAGGGAUGUGGGGAGAAUCGAAUAAGGUAACACGUAGAAGUGCUCUGUUGGCUGUCUGCACAAUCACUGUUGUUAUGAUGGUGUCUAAAAUUUUGCAGACGUCUGUGUAAAGGAGAAUCAUUCGUGGAGCAUUUGUUGACCAAAAUAGUGGGUGGUAAGAUAUGGCUUCUGUUCUAAACACUUGCAGUGCUGAUGCAGAGACAGGACAUCCACGUGACAUCCUAAAUAACACAAGGUCAUGUGUAAGUGCUGGAGGAUGCUAGGGGUCAGGAGCUCCAGUCAGCCCGGGCUGAGCAUCUGUGGUGGUCUGCAAGGGUGACCUAAUCGUUCAGACCCAAUGGGAGGGGUAUCAGAGGACUCACCAGGAAUGCUGGGUGCACAGAUUUGAUUGAGAAGAUUAGAACACGAUGGAGGAGCGAGUAGUCAGUUUUUCUGAAAUUCUAAUUGGGGGUAGCAAUUGGGAUCUGUAGCUUUUUCUUCUGCGCCGUCUCAACAAAGCCAAUUAAGUCUUAUUGCAUCUAUACAUCACCACGUGUACAGGCCAUAAGCAGGA